This 2377-nucleotide long non-coding RNA is filed under the name Citrus maxima (pomelo). RNAcentral describes it as "long non-coding RNA (CMAX_LNC002809)". The record is from RNAcentral. Lineage: Eukaryota; Viridiplantae; Streptophyta; Magnoliopsida; Sapindales; Rutaceae.
UAUCUUUGUAAGGUUAUUGAAGAUAGAAAAAUUGAUACUUGUAAUGUAUUUUUUAUUCUCAAUAUUUUUAAAGGCUACUAAUUAUACAUACAAUUCAUCGUUCAUCUAAUUCAAUUAUGUAAUAAUAUGUGAACAUCCAAUUACUUAAAAAAUUAGACACAAUGAUAAGUAUAUUUGUGUCAUACUUGUAUAUUUUCUAAUGAUAAAAAAUUAGGGAAAACAAAUCUAGUACUAUAUCUUCAAGUUGCCUUCAACACUUAGCCAAAAAUUCUUGAUCGUCAUGGCCUGCACUAAAAAUUCUUUAUCUUUAUAGCCUGCAUAUGAAUUCAGAACAAAAAUAUAAUUGUGUUUUGCUCUUAGAAAAAAUAUUAACCACCAUUAAAUAUAUCCUAAGGAAGUGGUUAAGUAAGUAAUUCAAAUCUAACAAAUAAAUACAAUUAAAAGUUUUCUUUCGGAGAAAAACUUCUAAAUCACUUGAAUAAUUGUGCCAUAACUACACAGUCUAACAAAUCAACUAGAAAAUCAUAUGAAAAAAAAAAACAUAAAAUGGUCUAACAAACUAGAAUAUUAAAAACACAAGAGAUAGGUAUACGACUCUGACUAUUAAUUUAGAGCUUCGUAGUAAUUGAUUGCCUAUUUUUUCUUUGUUUUCUCCAAUUUAAUUCCACCUUAGUACAGGAUGACUCUAAAAAUUCCAUUUACUUAAACAUCAUUCAUUUUAAUCUCAUGAGACAUCAACCUACAACUCACAAACUAGGUAGGUCUAUACAAAUAUUCACUUCAAUAAUUGAUAGGAAAUUAUUUAUUGCUUCAAAGCGCAAAAGUAGGAACUUUUGUGACCUACAAGCAUCUAACCAAAGAGCAAGCAACUUUUCUAAAUUUCGUUCAACCAAACCAUUACUGGAGAGACAUAUUGAAAUAGCACAUAAUACCCAAAGUUAUUGCAUAACCAAGCUUGAUCAGCAAGUUUAGCUUAUAGGAAAAAAAUUGCUGGAAAAAAAAUCAAUUAAAGUGGCAUGAGAAAUUAAGUACUGCAACUUUAUCCAACAAGACAACCAAAUGAAUGUUAAAUUAAGUACUGCAACUUUAUCCAACAUAAAUUGAUAUAAUGGAAAAAAAAAAGAUAAGAAUUAUAUUGAUAGUUACCUUAUAACAAGAACUAGUUACAAUAGAACCUUAACCAUAUAUGCCCAGUAACUUCAACUUUCUUCAAACAACUGCUCUUCAUAUUGUAAUCCAAUUCUGUGUUUGAUUGCCUUCAAAGUUGAGCUUUAACUAAAAUUCGAAGUGUGUUAAUAAAAUAUUUGAGAAAAUACCAGGGAAAAUGCACAAAUCCAAACAACAUAUAACACAAUUUCAUAAUAAUAUACCAAAAGCAAAACUUUGGGACUAGAAAUAAAUUUUAUAAGCAAAAACAGGGAAGGUAUGAGGAAAAGGUUUUUAUUUGAGAAAGAAUUAUAAAACCACAAGGAAUUAGAAGUUCAAAGACAAAAAAGUUAUAGAUGAUUUGCAGAAAUUAAGAGAAGAUUAGGAUUUCUUAUAAGUUUCAUAUUAAUUAUGGAAGGAAUUGAAAGGAAAAUUGGGAAAAAAAUUAACUUAAAUAUUUUCAAUUACCUCUCUAAAAUUAGAUGGUUCCACGUGCUAAAUGAUAACAGUUGUAAAUUGCACAAAACAAGAACAAGAGUAAAGCGGCAUCCAGCAAAGUUGAAAUUGAUACUUCAUAAAUUUCCCAAAUUGAACAUAGCAUCAAGUAUCAAAACAAUUGUUAAUAUCUUCAAUCACUUUCUCUCUCUAGGGACGAAAUAUUGUCAAUCUAAUGGACUUACUAUUCUCAUUCAAAAAAUUUGCAACCUCUUCGUCACUCUUUUCAAACUCACACCAUUUUCUCUAAGCAACUUCCCAUCAUCCUGAGUAUCAAUAACAAAAAUUAACAAACGUAAAAGCAAAACCUAGAAAUUACCUCCAUUGCAUUCAAGCCAUAUUUGGGGAAAUCCAGACCCAUCAAUUUAUUCUAUCAAACACAAGCCAUCUGGGUUGCAAUUGCUCAGCAAGUUAAGGGGGAUGAACAGGUAAAAUGAUUUCUAAAGAAAUUAUAAGGGAUAAGGAUAUUAGGUUUCAAAAAUCUAAUAGAGAGGAGACUCAAAGGAGAGAAGAAGACUGAGAGUUUUGGGUGACUUUAAGUUUCCAAGGCAAAUUAGGGAUUGUAGACAAAAGAUGAUUAUAAUUAUUUUUUAAGGUCAUUUUAUUUUUUUCAUUCUGCGAUCGACAAUUUUUCCCCCGUCUUUCUUUUCCCUCCCUUUUGGUAGCUUUUUUUUCUCGUCUUUCUUUCCCUCUCUUUUGGUAGCUUUUUUAUAUUGUCACUAAAUUAAAAUUGUUU